Molecule: long non-coding RNA, 451 nt
Organism: Eublepharis macularius
Lineage: Eukaryota; Metazoa; Chordata; Lepidosauria; Squamata; Eublepharidae
Exons: 3
Source: RefSeq, a predicted model, not a curated record
GAGAAACUGCGGGGUGGGAAGGGCUGGUGGGGGGAGCAGAGGCGGCCGCUCCGAGCCGAAGGAGAAGCCCGGUUUGUACCUGCCGUCUCCCGCGCAGCGUCUCUCCACCAGUCCGCGCGACACUGAGGGGAAGAGGCUGCGGUCCCUUUGGCAGCGGCGCCAGUGGCAAAGACCAACGCGGAGCUGUGCAGACUGGGAUUGGACUUCCUCCGGAUGGCCAUUCGCCUGAAGUUUACGCUCUCCGACCCGCUCAUUUUUUUCUCUUUAGCUCCCUUGUCGAGUUAGUCGUGCGGCUGCAGUCCAGUGACUCCGGCGCAAAACUGUCUCCAUGUGCAAAAAUGAAGCAGCUCACUUUACAGAUGAACUCUUUUUAUUCCCAUUGGUUGAUAUGCAGUGAUUAAAAAUCCUUGAGAGAGAAUUCAUACUCCCCCAGCUCCCUAGAAUGCAAGAA